GUCUGUUUUCUGUAACGCCGGUUUUAGCCAGAUGGCGGGGAUGUGAGGACUAUCCCGUGGCUGGUGAAGGUCUGGUGAUUGGAACAAGACGACUCACCUCGGAUUGGUGGCUACUGUCUCUGCCGCUUGUGUCUUCUCCAACGUCGGGUUGCGGCUUGGGCGGAUCUCUAUGGUUUGAGUUUUAGCGGCGAGGGCUCUCAUGGUGACGGCUAUGAGGUUGCUUCAGUGGAUGUAGAUUUCAGAGCUCUACCCCCAGUUGUUUGCUCUCCGUUUUUAUAAUCAGAUCUAUGUUAGAUCCGGUGUGGCCCCUUCGCAUCUCAGGUUGUUUGUUUAGUUUUCGACUAUUGUUUGACGGAUUUGGUGA
RNAcentral lists this long non-coding RNA (364 nucleotides) under Brassica rapa (field mustard). RNAcentral's name for it is "long non-coding RNA (BRAP_LNC003960)". Lineage: Eukaryota; Viridiplantae; Streptophyta; Magnoliopsida; Brassicales; Brassicaceae. The record is from RNAcentral.